Clupea harengus (Atlantic herring) is the source of this 4983-nucleotide long non-coding RNA. The record is from Ensembl. NCBI's taxonomy places the organism in Eukaryota, Metazoa, Chordata, Actinopteri, Clupeiformes, Clupeidae.
AUGGCCAUGGAUUACUUCACUAAGUGGCCUGAGCCAUAUGCAGUCCUUGACAAGACUGCUGCCACCACCAUUGAGCGCCUGAUCAGUGAAGUGUUCUACCAUUUUGGUGAAACCAACCAUCUAGCUUCCUAAAAUGACGUUUAAAAUCAAUAAAAAUGAUUGUUAUUGAUUCUUUUUUAUUUCUCUCAGUGUACCUUCUAUAAAAAAGGUAACACCUAUUGUGUUUGGGUCAAUAUGACCCGAAGUAACCUGAUGUAGAACAAGCUAUACGAGCUGCUUUGUCUCACUUAGUGUGCUAUUCCUCAUACUGCUAGAAUGUCCAAUUCAAGAAAUCAAAUUUAGCAUGCUAGCUUACUAGCAAUGCAUUGAAUCCAUGUCUUUCAAUGGGGCAUCAAAACCACAGAUUUUCCCUGUCACAACCCUUUUUUGACUCGUCCUUUGUUUUUUUAGAUAACAAACAGCUGACUGCUCCGGCGGUGAAAUUACAUUUGCAUUUUCUCAUACGAAUGUAUUUCUAGUUGUGUAGUAUUCGAAUUUAGUAUGUAGUUCAUGUUUCCCUUUUGUGUCUCAUGUUAGCAUGCAUUACUGUCAUCAUUCUUGUCGGGGUGCUAUGUUGUAAAAUGCCUGUGUGUUGUUUAACAAUACCGUCUGUGUCAUGUGGUGAAUAGACCUCCCUCCAGUGAUUCCACUGUCAGCAACAAUAUGUCCUGCCUGGACAGUGUGUACUACAUAGGCCUAAUAAAGGACUUGAGGUCAAAGACAUCCUGACUCUUGUUGCUGCUCGACAUACAGGUAGGCCUAUAUCAUAUAUUCCACUUUCGCCAUUAACUUUUGAAAGUGUAAGGUUACAAGCAUUAGCAAGAUGGCACGAUGUACCUGUUUAGUUUCAUGAACUCCAUGCUAAGUAGGUAAAUGAAGCUAGUUAUAAUGACAACAAGCAACAGUCAGUGACGGUAAAACACAAAAUAACCUAAAAGCACAACAUGUUGAAAAUACGUGACACUUUAUUUUUGUUACAUUAUUGGACAUUUACGUUUUAUAACGGUAUAAAUUGUAUAAUUUCUGUUCAGAAUUGCAGAAUCAUGCUAGCCCUCAUGAAGCUUUUAUGACUAAGUACAACUCACAUAGACUUGAUGAUUGACAUAAAACAUCAGCUAUACGUUUUAUUUUGUUUCUUUAAGUCCAUGCGUCUUAAUAAAUCCAUCUACUGUGGUACAAAUGUACUCUUAAUAUAUUUUUUUUUACACCAUCUGCUGUCUUGGGUGCUUUAAGGCUUGGUUGUCCAGUGAAAUCAAAUUGUGGGCAUACUGCUCAAGACAGAGGCCAAGUCACAAAUGUACGUAGGCUACAAGAAAUUGCAUUUUAAACAUGUUCUUAACCUGAAGAGACAAAAAUCUUAAAGGAAUGAUGUACUUGUGCUAAAAGGAAACUAGCAAGCUGAGAUAAUUAAAAGUCUACAAUAAAACUAUGCUUUUUGCUGAAAGCCCAUAAAGGAACAGCACAAGUCUUGGCAUUUCAGUUAGACAUAAAGGUGUACUCUUGUCAGUUUGUGGAAGUGUGAUAACAACAGACCCUUACUAGAGACAGACAAGAGACAUUGUCUGGGAUUGUGUGUGUGUGCGUGCGUGUGUGUGUGCGUGAAUGUAUGCAAAUACAUGUCUGCCUGUUUACAGGAGAAACAGAUAAUGGCCUGUAUUUGAACAAAGGCUAUCCUUAACAUGUCAUACCUUUAAACAAGAUAUUUAAAUGCAUCAGUAUGGAAAUGAUCUGACUGAAUGUUCAUGACAGUAAUCUGCUCUACAUUGUUGGUGUUAAGCCAUACAGUCUGACAUGCAAAUCUGGCCAUCCUUUGAUUAUUCUGCAGACUGUGUUGCUGAUUGAUACAAAAUGCAGCCAAUAUUUCAAAUGUGUCCAAAAUUCCAAGCUUUGAUUUAUUUUAUUUUUUUUCAAUUAAUCCUUGAGUUGAUCUUGAUUCUGAAAAAUCUUGUCAGGCUUUUUUGUUGUUGAACUUAUACAAUACCACACUGUGGUAACCUGGUAUAAGUCAAUACUUAAUGUUGACAUUCCAUGCCAAAAUGCUAACUCACACUUUUCUGUCACGGGGCUCAUAGUGACUUCCUCUGGUAAACCAGGUAAGAUGGGUUUUGUUGGAAUGGAUAUUUAAAGGUCCCCUGAAAAUAGCACAUUGUUCUUCCUGUCACCUGCUGUUUGGGACUGGAUUUUGAAUGUAGUGGAAUCAUGCAAGUGCCACACUGUGCAUUUAUUUCUUGACUGCAAAGGGUGAGGGGAUAAUAGCUUUGGUCAGUGUGGCAAAACGCCACUUGGGAAGGUUGUCACUUAAUCUGGUGUAGGGUAGUGCCUUUUUAUCUCUCUCUCUUUUUUAGUCAAAUGUUCCCUCCUGAAGCAUCUUUUCGUGGCAGAGGCACAAGGAAAUAUCAGGAUUUAUCAGGGGAAGGUAAAGUACCCCAUUGCAGCAGAGACAAAACAAAAACCCGGUUCACCAGUCUGUAGCAGCAUGAAUCACCUUCUUGCUCUCUCUCCAUCUCUCUAUCUCUCCCUCCCCUACUCUCUCUCUUUCUCUCUCACUGUCUCUCUUUCUUUCUCUUUAUCUCUCUGACCAUCUGUUGUUUGCACACUUUUCUCUCUUUCUGCCUUAUCCCCUUCUGUUUCUUAUGUAAGCUGCCUAAACACAAUAUUGAUAUCGGGCAUUUUUCACCCUGCCAUCCGCCUACUCGCCCACAGCCAAGGUUAAUUAGCAGUCAUUACAGAAGAAAUAUAUUGCCUCUGCGGGCACGGAGAGGGAGAGGGAUGGUGAAAAAUGAGGACGCCAAUGAGUUGUGUGUGGGCAGAGAGAGACAGAAGGGCGAUGCCUGAACCUGUCACCAUGGCAAUGGCAGCUGGGGAGUAAUUGUAACCGGUUCGGACCAGGGUGUGUUUAAUUGAUCUAAGAUUCCUUCAGGUACCCUUCAACGGACUUGAUUAACAGAGUCAUCAAUCGGAAGCAGGUGGCGAAAGGAAUACAUAUUGUCGGAUAGGUGCUCCCUAUUGGUUUGACCUCAUGACCUCAAACUCUCAUGAGUUCUCCAAUUAUGUUUUGACCCGGUUGAAUGAGAGGAUGGUGGAUGAGCUGAUCAGCACUGACAUUGUGUUGGAGGUCAAAACACCAUGAGCAAGGUCUCCAGUCGAAUCUGGAAAAGCAUUUAAUUGAAAAAUAGCUCCUCACUGAUAUUAAAUUCCUUGUGCUUUUGAUACAACAGCCAUAUUUGUCCGGAUAUCUCAUGUUUAUCUUAUCUCUACACCUGAACAAACCAGUUUACCUCUACUCUAAUAUGAGAUCGCACCAUACAGUGGCAUGCCAGGGUCUAUGUAUUAGAAACUGGUAUCAAUUUGUAAAAAGGAGUAAUUCACUAUAUUCCAUACUGAUUAAAUUUGAAGGAUAAUCCGCAGGCUAGUCAGGGUUUUUUCUUUAUGGGCCGUUUCCUCAAAAUGCAGGCAUUCAUAAAAGUCGAGCUAUGGCUUAUGAUUACGAUUUCAGUAUAAUUUGCAACAGAAUCAAUCUCGUAGACGGGCAGUGAACCCAGCCAGCCCAGCUGAAACCACAUAUAUAGCCACAUAUAUAGCCUAUUAGUUAAUAUUAAACUCAAGGCAGCCCGACAUAGACAGGGCCUGUCACACCACAGUGGAUUACCUUCCACACACACGGCUCUGCUCUGAAGUUCUCCGGCUCUUUAUUCCUGAAGACUUUACUCUUCUCUUAUCCAGUCAGCUCUAGCUAUCAAAAGGGUGAUUGAUGACCAUGCCUGCUCAACUGGCUGGUCUGAUAAACUCUGAAUAUCCUGAGCCUGUUUCCCCGUUCCUGCUCCCGAAACCACCAAAUGAAAAUGUCUCCCUUGGGACCAGUGAGCUCAGCAGAAAGUCCACGGGUUCGCUCGUCACUGUAGGGUGACAGAACACAGACAGACUCGGAGCCCUCAAAUGACUUAUAAAGGGAUGCAAUAUAAAAUAGCUCAAAGCCAGACAGAACAGCAGAAACAAUGAUGAUGUAGUCAACCAACAUUCAGUCUAAAUAUUGUACAGUAAUGUGCUCAUUUUAGACAGCAACCUUACUUGAGAUACACAAGUGACUAGAUAGAUACUUUGCAAGUUAUAUGAAUAUGCCAUGUAUAUAUGACCUGUCCUUGUUGGUCCGAACAACGCAGCCUCAGUCGCACAGGCCGAGAGCUGACACAGUGCUCUCGACUCUUGUUUGUUGUUUGUUGUGUUGUUGUUUGUUGUUGUGCCUCUGGACAGUGUUUGAGUGCCCUGAGAGCUAAAGGGUGUUUAGGGUGGGGUCCCACUGCACCUAUAAACAAAGGUGCUUGAGAAGCCAUGGGCAGAAAAGUUGGGGGACAAGGGGGGUACAGCAACAGUACAACCAAAGACAGUUUGGUUGAUGGUUAAAAAGGAGAUGGUUAAAAAGGAGAGAUAAAUAGAAAACAGGGACAAGUAAAGGAUCAGUAGACCAAACUAGGUAGAUAGAUAAAUGGAAUGUAUAUAUUUGUUAUCAGUCGUGGCUUCAGCAGCAUUAGUCUGGUGAAAGUACUAAUCCUGUUUUCAGACUGAUAAGGGUAAAAAGCAGAAAGGGAACAAAACAACAAAUCUUUUUCUUUCUUUUUUUCCCCUUCUCUCCUCAUCCAGUAAAAGCACCCCUCUAGUUUCUCAAAAGUCUUCCCCUAUCAGAGGGCGACCAAUUUCUCAGCCUUAUCUUCUUGGCGAGGCUGGCUUGUGCAAGAGAGAGCUGCUGCUGGGUGUCCAGACCUCCCGAGUCCCAAGUGUCAACCUCACUCGUUCCCACUGUGCUCACACGAUAGGGAGGCUGAAUAGAAGAGCACCAAGGGGUCUGUUUUGAUCUUCUAAGGGCGUCCCCGGGGGAGUCUUGAGGUUGAAGCUGGGAAGGCUGUCAUAAGAUGUCGUGGUGAUGUCAUUUCAUGGCUUUCUAACAUG